RNAcentral lists this ribosomal RNA (468 nucleotides) under uncultured bacterium. Its description in RNAcentral is "partial 16S ribosomal RNA". It matches the Rfam family "Bacterial small subunit ribosomal RNA", at positions 28 to 507 of the family's 1533-position model. The record is from RNAcentral.
GACGAACGCUGGCGGCGUGCUUAACACACGCAAGUCGAACGGAAAGGCCCUGCUUUUGUGGGGUGCUCGAGUGGCGAACGGGUGAGUAACACGUGAGUAACCUGCCCUUGACUUUGGGAUAACUUCAGGAAACUGGGGCUAAUACCGGAUAGGAGCUCCUGCUGCAUGGUGGGGGUUGGAAAGUUUCGGCGGUUGGGGAUGGACUCGCGGCUUAUCAGCUUGUUGGUGGGGUAGUGGCUUACCAAGGCUUUGACGGGUAGCCGGCCUGAGAGGGUGACCGGCCACAUUGGGACUGAGAUACGGCCCAGACUCCUACGGGAGGCAGCAGUGGGGAAUAUUGCACAAUGGGCGGAAGCCUGAUGCAGCAACGCCGCGUGCGGGAUGACGGCCUUCGGGUUGUAACCCGCUUUCGCCUGUGACGAAGCGUGAGUGACGGUAAUGGGUAAAGAAGCACCGGCUAACUACGUG